This is a non-coding RNA of Caenorhabditis elegans, 199 nucleotides long. The record is from Ensembl. Lineage: Eukaryota; Metazoa; Nematoda; Chromadorea; Rhabditida; Rhabditidae.
CCAACAGGCAUUGAAUUGGCUCCAAAAAAUGUCACAUUCAAUUGUAGGUAGUGUUUUGUGUGGGGCACAUACAUACUCACACACACGCGGCCUCCUCUCCAAGUAGUCCUCGACGACGUAACACCUCAAUUUCAUGGGCUUUUAACGGCAGUGUUGUCCCACACAACUAACAAAAAGCCAAUGGCUUCCAACACGGGGC